AGUAUAUAUACCUUUUUACUCAAUAACUAUUUUAACAAUUCACUAAAAUCCCCCACCCCAGAAGCACUGCCCGCCAAUAGUCCUCUUCUCAAACUGCCCAAUUGUGUUAUCCUUCCCCAUAUGGGCACUCAGAUUAUGAAGACUACUAUUGAAAUGAGUUUGCUGGCUGCCAAUAAUACUUUAAAUGCCAUCGAAGGGCAGCCUAUGAUAAAGCCCGCCUACUGAGAAGAUGUAAAAUAUGAAUAAAAGAAACUCUGCCGUUUCAAGUGUACUUUUAAAGUGUGCUAUUAAAUGCAACAAGUAAAUAAUUGUGCAAAUUUUUACUUUUACCGAACCCAACCCAAUAAAAGCACUUUAUCCGUUG
This 364-nucleotide small RNA is filed under the name Drosophila yakuba. Its description in RNAcentral is "GE28475". Lineage: Eukaryota; Metazoa; Arthropoda; Insecta; Diptera; Drosophilidae. The record is from RNAcentral.